This 334-nucleotide ribosomal RNA is filed under the name uncultured eukaryote. Its description in RNAcentral is "partial 18S ribosomal RNA". It matches the Rfam family "Eukaryotic small subunit ribosomal RNA", at positions 1470 to 1796 of the family's 1831-position model. The record is from RNAcentral.
CCCUUAGAUGUCCGGGGCCGCACGCGCGCUACACUGAAGGAAUCAGCGUGGCUUUCUCCCUGACCCGAAAGGGUUGGGAAACCCGUUGAAUCUCCUUCGUGAUAGGGAUUGGGGCUUGAAAUUGUUCCCCAUGAACGAGGAAUUCCCAGUAAGCGCGAGUCAUAAGCUCGCGUUGAUUACGUCCCUGCCCUUUGUACACACCGCCCGUCGCUACUACCGAUUGAACGGUUUAGUGAGGGCCUCGGAUUGGUCUCGGCCCGCUCUUUACCGGGCGGCGCCGUUGGUCGAGAAGACGCUCGAACUUGAUAGUUUAGAGGAAGUAAAAGUCGUAACA